RNAcentral lists this ribosomal RNA (523 nucleotides) under uncultured bacterium. Its description in RNAcentral is "bacterial SSU rRNA". It matches the Rfam family "Bacterial small subunit ribosomal RNA", at positions 355 to 896 of the family's 1533-position model. The record is from RNAcentral.
UGGGGAAUCUUGGACAAUGGGCGAAAGCCUGAUCCAGCCAUGCCGCGUGAGUGAAGAAGGCCCUAGGGUUGUAAAACUCUUUCAGCGGGGAAGAUAAUGACGGUACCCGCAGAAGAAGCCCCGGCUAACUUCGUGCCAGCAGCCGCGGUAAUACGAAGGGGGCUAGCGUUGUUCGGAAUUACUGGGCGUAAAGCGCGCGUAGGCGGACUGGUCAGUCAGGGGUGAAAUCCCGGGGCCUAACCUCGGAACUGCCUUUGAUACUACCAGUCUCGAGUCCGGAAGAGGUGAGUGGAAUUCCUAGUGUAGAGGUGAAAUUCGUAGAUGUUAGGAAGAACACCGGUGGCGAAGGCGGCUCACUGGUCCGGUACUGACGCUGAGGCGCGAAAGCGUGGGGAGCAAACAGGAUUAGAUACCCUGGUAGUCCACGCCGUAAACGAUGGAUGCUAGCCGUUGGGCAGCAUGCUGUUCAGUGGCGCAGCUAACGCAUUAAGCAUCCCGCCUGGGGAGUACGGCCGCAAGGUUA